UAUGGACGGGAAUAACCUCGGGAAACUGAGAAUAAUGCCCGAUAGAACAUUAUGCCUGGAAUGGUUUAUGUUCCAAAUGAUUUAUCGCCGUAGGAUGGGACUGCGGCCUAUCAGUUUGUUGGUGAGGUAAUGGCCCACCAAGACUAUUACAGGUACGGGCUCUGAGAGGAGUAGCCCGGAGAUGGGUACUGAGACACGGACCCAGGCCCUAUGGGGCGCAGCAGGCGAGAAAACUUUGCAAUGUGCGAAAGCACGACAAGGUUAAUCCGAGUGGUUUCUGCUAAAGAAACCUUUUGUCAGUCCUAGAAAUACUGAUGAAUAAGGGGUGGGCAAGUUCUGGUGUCAGCCGCCGCGGUAAAACCAGCACCUCAAGUGGUCAGGAUGAUUAUUGGGCCUAAAGCAUCCGUAGCCGGCUCUGUAAGUUUUCGGUUAAAUCUGUACGCUCAACGUACAGGCUGCCGGGAAUACUGCAGAGCUAGGGAGUGGGAGAGGUAGACGGUACUCGGUAGGAAGGGGUAAAAUCCUUUGAUCUAUUGAUGACCACCUGUGGCGAAGGCGGUCUACCAGAACACGUCCGACGGUGAGGGAUGAAAGCUGGGGGAGCAAACCGGAUUAGAUACCCGGGUAGUCCCAGCUGUAAACUAUGCAAACUCAGUGAUGCAUUGGCUUGUGGCCAAUGCAGUGCUGCAGGGAAGCCGUUAAGUUUGCCGCCUGGGAAGUACGUACGCAAGUAUGAAACUCAAAGGAAUUGACGGAAUCACUAGUG
Molecule: ribosomal RNA, 766 nt
Filed under: uncultured archaeon
Lineage: Archaea
Description: bacterial SSU rRNA
Rfam family: Archaeal small subunit ribosomal RNA
Source: RNAcentral